AACGCACAUUGCGCCCGCCAGUAUUCUGGCGGGCAUGCCUGUCCGAGCGUCAUUUCCCCCCUCACGCGCCCCGUUGCGCGCUGGUGUUGGGGCUCCUCCGCCUGGCGGAGGGCCCCGAAAGCGAUUGGCGGGCCCAGCUGGUUGGCUCCGAGCGCAGUACCGAACGCAAGUUCUCCCCUCGCUCGCGAACCCCGCCGGUGCCCUGCCGUCAAAACGCGCAUGACGUGCAACUUUUUACAAGGUUGACCUCGGAUCAGGUAGGACUACCCGCUGAACUUAAGC
RNAcentral lists this unclassified non-coding RNA (282 nucleotides) under uncultured fungus. Its description in RNAcentral is "sequence contains ITS2". The stretch from base 1 to 52 matches the Rfam family "5.8S ribosomal RNA", at positions 103 to 154 of the family's 154-position model. The record is from RNAcentral. Lineage: Eukaryota; Fungi.